RNAcentral lists this unclassified non-coding RNA (568 nucleotides) under Falona echinata. Its description in RNAcentral is "Cynosurus echinatus partial external transcribed spacer". Lineage: Eukaryota; Viridiplantae; Streptophyta; Magnoliopsida; Poales; Poaceae. The record is from RNAcentral.
GAGUAGCUUUGGACCCGUGUCUGCCGGUAGAUCCCCCGUCUUAGUGCGGCUGACUACCGGCGCCGUGUCCCGUCAUUCCCGUGGCUUACGCUGCUGUUGCCUUUCAAGUGCUUGCGUGCCGGUACCCGACCAACGUGAAUUGGUGCUUCGUACACGGUUGCCUCGCGGUGGACACCUUCGUUGUACCGCUGCGGCCUAACGGCCCUUGCGGCGUUUCCUCAUGGCACGCUUGCGUGAAUGUUGCCAUCAAGGAAACCUCGCUCCCGCUGUUGGUCUCGGAUGUCGCUCACGAUAAAGUCUCUUGGCCCUUUUGGUUGCCUUGACCCGACCCUUAAGCUGCUCUCCGUAUUUGAGAACACCCGUGAACAGGUGUUGCCUCUGCCUCUCCACAGUUAGUGGUAGGAUACGCAACAUUCUGCGCCGAUCCUCAAUAUAGUAGGAUGAGCUUAGCUCGCUCAAUCGCGACAAGCGGCCCGGUCGCCGCCUCAGCCUGGCUACACAAGUGGACGGGCGGGCAAAGACCGAUGCUGGGCGUCAACGAGGACGUGCUACCUGGUUGAUCCUGCCA